UAUCUGGUUGAUCCUGCCAGUAGUCAUAUGCUUGUCUCAAAGAUUAAGCCAUGCAUGUCUCGGCAUAAACCUACGUAUGGUGAAGCUGCGAAUGGCUCAUUAGAACAGUUGUGGUUUAUCUGGUACUUGAAAGAUAGAUGGAUAACUGUGGUAAUUCUAGGGCUAAUACAUGCGUAAAAACCGGACUUCGAGGAACGGUUGUACUUAUUAGACAAAGAACUAAUCCGUUUCGGCGGCAUUUAGAUGAAUCAUAAUAAAAGCAUGGAGCGUAUGACUUGUGUCGGCGCUACACCAUUCAAGUUUCUGACCUAUCAGCUUUCGACGGCAGGGUAUUGGCUUACCGUGGCAUUGACGGGUAACGGGGAAUUAGGGUUCGAUUCCGGAGAGGAAGCCCGAGAAACGGCUACCACAUCUAAGGAAGGCAGCAGGCGCGCAAAUUACCCACUCCUGACACAGGGAGGUAGUGACAAGGAAUAGCAAUGCAGGUGGCAAUUGCCAUUGUGCUAUUGGAAUGAGUGGACUUUAAAUCCCUUUUCGACUAUCGAUUGGAGGGCAAGUCUGGUGCCAGCAGCCGCGGUAAUUCAGCUCCAGUAGCGUAUAUUAAAGUUGUUGCGGUGAAAAGCUCGUAGUUGGGUUCUGCGGAGAAGCGCGGUCCGCACUUGUGCGUGUAUCUGGUCUACCUACGCAUCUUCAGUGAACGCUACUGCGCUUAUUGCGUGGCGCGGCAUCUGACNUUUACUUGAGAAAUUGCAUGUUACAGCGAGCGAAUUGGUUGAACAU
RNAcentral lists this ribosomal RNA (780 nucleotides) under uncultured marine eukaryote. RNAcentral describes it as "SSU rRNA". It matches the Rfam family "Eukaryotic small subunit ribosomal RNA", at positions 1 to 802 of the family's 1831-position model. The record is from RNAcentral.